GUCAAACUUCUAUAAGUUGAAAUGAUUUAUGGCAAAUAUUUAUUACAAUAUAUGUCGGUGAAAUGAAUAUAAUACACUUCUAUAUAAUUAUUUGAUGAAACAUUGCGCCUAAACAAGGAUUAGAUACCCUUUUAUACAAUGCCCGUUUUCUUUUGCAGAGAACUAAAACCUGAUGGUUAAAACUCAAAUAACAUGGCGGUAAUCUUAGCCCUUAGGGGAACUUACCUAAUAAAUGAUAACCACCAAGGUAAAGCAACUCUUGAAAAAUCUUGUAUGCCGUCGUCGUCAGACAACACUUAAUGUUUUAUCACUAUAAUUAAUUUAAAAAGACAGAUCAAGGUGCAGACAAUUCAAGAGAUUAGGCGAGUUACAUUUAAUUUAUUAUGUCACUACUCUUAUGUAAUAAAUAUAGAACUAGGACUUAACAGUAAUUUACAUUAAUUAUAGUAAAUGAAUAUGAUAAGAUUGUGCACAA
This 475-nucleotide ribosomal RNA is filed under the name Austrochloritis porteri. Its description in RNAcentral is "partial 12S ribosomal RNA". The record is from RNAcentral. Lineage: Eukaryota; Metazoa; Mollusca; Gastropoda; Stylommatophora; Camaenidae.